UAUUUCCUCUUCCUUCUUUCUUGUUGGAACCAAGGAACCCCUUGUGCUAGAAAUCACAAUUACUGUAGCUAACUAAACAUCUUAUGUAGCACUAAGAAAUUCACUUUACUUCCAUUGUUUUCUUAACCUUGAAUGGAGAUCCCUUCCAAAAGAAUUCAUAGGGAUCAUUUGGGCUCAAAAUUGAGCCCCCAAGGCUCAAUUAGACUUGCAUUGUAUUAUAAGGUGGAGAAACUUCAGCUAGAGGCAAGAACCCGGAGGAGUAGCCCCAUCAUGACCCUUGACUUCCUCCUAAGUUUACUUUAGUACUUAGUGGCGAUGUGACAAGACGAUGUGCUUGGCAGACCAUUGUGUUCUUAUCAUCCGUUUCUCUGUAAAUGUUUAAUUGGUGUGUUCAUAGUUGCAUAUGUAAGGACCUUGGAUCCACUAGUGAAUUUGGUGUACCAAUUCUUGACCUUCUUGUUAUCUUUUAACACUUUGA
Dioscorea cayenensis subsp. rotundata (Guinea yam) is the source of this 478-nucleotide long non-coding RNA. RefSeq lists it as uncharacterized. The transcript has 3 exons. NCBI's taxonomy places the organism in Eukaryota, Viridiplantae, Streptophyta, Magnoliopsida, Dioscoreales, Dioscoreaceae. The record is from RefSeq and is a predicted model, not a curated record.